UUUGCGGGUUGAUGCCGUGCGGGCACCCUUCGGGGUGGCCUGUUCCUAAGUUCAGGUCCGCCAACCCGCACGGCGUCGCCCUCCCUC
RNAcentral lists this non-coding RNA (87 nucleotides) under Sutterella parvirubra YIT 11816. Lineage: Bacteria; Pseudomonadati; Pseudomonadota; Betaproteobacteria; Burkholderiales; Sutterellaceae. The record is from RNAcentral.